GGUGGCUCACUGGUAGAGCACUUGCCUUGCAUGCAUGAGGCCUUGGGUUCGAUUCCUCAGCACCA
Molecule: transfer RNA, 65 nt
Filed under: Dipodomys ordii (Ord's kangaroo rat)
Lineage: Eukaryota; Metazoa; Chordata; Mammalia; Rodentia; Heteromyidae
Rfam family: tRNA
About the family: Transfer RNA (tRNA) molecules are approximately 80 nucleotides in length. Their secondary structure includes four short double-helical elements and three loops (D, anti-codon, and T loops).
Source: Rfam by way of RNAcentral